UCUCUAUAACAAAAAGGAACAAAAGGUCACGUCAGUCAAGAGGACGAUGAAGGAAGCGUCUGUACUAUGUCUGCUCUUUCUGACAUCGGUGUUUUACUGGACAACAAGCCAAGCUCGUCUCACUGUGAGUCCCAGCCGCUCUCAGUUCUUUGACGGAGACUCUGUGUCUCUGAGCUGUGAGGAGGACGACAGCUCUGCUGGAUGGACUCUGAGGAGAAACACAAGCACAGACACCAGAGCUGAGUGUGAGGAAUGGGGGCAAUUAACUGGCUCUUCUUGUACCACAAGCAGUAUCGUCCUGUUGGACAGUGGAGUUUACUGGUGUGAGUCCAGAGAGGGUCCCAUCAGUAACAUGGUUAACCUGACAGUCACUGGUGGAUCAGUGAUCCUGCAGAGUCCUGUCCUCCCUGUGAUGGAGGGAGAUGAUGUCACUCUGCUCUGUAAAACAAAGACCACUCCCUCCAACCUCACAGCCAUUUUCUUCAAAGAUGGCAUCUUCACCGGGAAAGACUCUGCAGGUCACAUGACAAUCCAGCAUGUUUCCAGGUCUGAUGAAGGCCUCUACAAGUGUGACAUCAGCGGUCAUGGAGAGUCUCCAUCCAGCUGGAUCACUGUCACAGAGAAACGCACCACCACACCUCCACCUACAUCCACACCUCCACCUACAUCCACACCUCCAUCUACAUCCACACCUCCAGCUAAAACCACCUCUACAUUGACCUUAACUGCCGCUUCCUCUCCUCUUCUCCCGGUGUUGCUGACUGCUGGAACACUCUGUGUCAUAGCUCUAGUGGUGUUACUGAUUGUUUUGGUGGAACGGUAUGUUGACAGGAAGCUUCAAGAGAGUGCUUUAGCUGCCGUCUACUCAGCAUUGAGGACAGAAGACAUCUGUUAUGUAGAAAUCAAGAUUAAAGAGAAACCCAAAUAAACAAAGACCAGAUUGUGAAGCCAGAGCUCUGUACUGAAGAGGCCCACCAGUCCAGCCGAUGACUUGGUCCAACCGACCCAUAAGACCUCAGGCCAUAGAUGUGUAAUACUCAUAUAUUUACAUGUUUUUCUCAUUACCUUACACAGCCAGCAAGCUUGCCUUAUUAUGAGUAUGUAAUGCAUUAAUGCAGUAAUGGAAUGCACUGUAUAUGAUCCCCUAUUGAUCUUUCUAUCGAUCUAUUUAAUUUCUAAGUGGGAGACCAUGCUGUCUGCUCCACAGCAGUGAUCUAGUUUUUCUGCAGAAUCAAUAAACUUUGGUCUCACUUUU
Long non-coding RNA from Oreochromis niloticus (Nile tilapia), 1255 nucleotides. RefSeq annotates it as Fc receptor-like protein 5. Lineage: Eukaryota; Metazoa; Chordata; Actinopteri; Cichliformes; Cichlidae. The record is from RefSeq and is a predicted model, not a curated record. The transcript is spliced from 7 exons.